This 549-nucleotide ribosomal RNA is filed under the name uncultured Glomus. Its description in RNAcentral is "SSU rRNA". It matches the Rfam family "Eukaryotic small subunit ribosomal RNA", at positions 548 to 1098 of the family's 1831-position model. Lineage: Eukaryota; Fungi; Glomeromycota; Glomeromycetes; Glomerales; Glomeraceae. The record is from RNAcentral.
UUGGAGGGCAAGUCUGGUGCCAGCAGCCGCGGUAAUUCCAGCUCCAGUGGCGUAUAUUAAAGUUGUUGCAGUUAAAAAGCUCGUAGUUGAAUUUCGGGAUCGACGGGUCGGUCGCGCCUCUGGUGUGUACUGGCCCUGUCGGUCUCUCCCUUCUGACGAACCACGAUGUCAUUAAUUUGGUGUCGUGGGGAAUCAGGACUGUUACUUUGAAAAAAUUAGAGUGUUUAAAGCAAGCAUUCACUUGAGUACAUUAGCAUGGAAUAAUGAAAUAGGACGUUUGAUCUUAUUUUGUUGGUUUCUAAGAUCGACGUAAUGAUUAAUAGGGAUAGUUGGGGGCAUUAGUAUUCAAUUGUCAGAGGUGAAAUUCUUGGAUUUAUUGAAGACUAACUACUGCGAAAGCAUUUGCCAAGGAUGUUUCCAUUAAUCAAGAACGAAAGUUAGGGGAUCGAAGACGAUCAGAUACCGUCGUAGUCUUAACCAUAAACUAUGCCGACUAGGAAUCGGAUGAUGUUAAUUUUUUAAUGACUCAUUCGGCACCUUACGGGAAAC